This 515-nucleotide ribosomal RNA is filed under the name uncultured bacterium. RNAcentral's name for it is "partial 16S ribosomal RNA". It matches the Rfam family "Bacterial small subunit ribosomal RNA", at positions 28 to 523 of the family's 1533-position model. The record is from RNAcentral.
GAUGAACGCUGGCGGCGUGCCUAAUACAUGCAAGUCGAGCGAAUGGAUUAAGAGCUUGCUCUUAUGAAGUUAGCGGCGGACGGGUGAGUAACACGUGGGUAACCUGCCCAUAAGACUGGGAUAACUCCAGGAAACCGGGGCUAAUACCGGAUAACAUUUUGAACCGCAUGGUUCGAAAUUGAAAGGCGGCUUCGGCUGUCACUUAUGGAUGGACCCGCGUCGCAUUAGCUAGUUGGUGAGGUAACGGCUCACCAAGGCAACGAUGCGUAGCCGACCUGAGAGGGGGCUCGGCCACACUGGGACUGAGACACGGCCCAGACUCCUACGGGAGGCAGCAGUAGGGAAUCUUCCGCAAUGGACGAAAGUCUGACGGAGCAACGCCGCGUGAGUGAUGAAGGCUUUCGGGUCGUAAAACUCUGUUGUUAGGGAAGAACAAGUGCUAGUUGAAUAAGCUGGCACCUUGACGGUACCUAACCAGAAAGCCACGGCUAACUACGUGCCAGCCGCCGCAGUAA